Molecule: long non-coding RNA, 974 nt
Organism: Gymnodraco acuticeps
Lineage: Eukaryota; Metazoa; Chordata; Actinopteri; Perciformes; Bathydraconidae
Exons: 2
Source: RefSeq, a predicted model, not a curated record
ACAGGCUCAGCUCCACCUCGUUGAUGUUGACUACUGCGACUUUGUUGUCUGGACUAAAAAUGACCUCUUUGUAGAGAGAAUUGUGCGUGAUGUGGACCUGUGGGACAACAGCAUUCCCAGAGUUGAGAGUUUCUUCAGACUAUGUGUUCUCCCUGAAGUGUUGGGACAGCAACUUACAAGGGGAAAGUUUCAGUUGCAAGAUGAUCAGGAGGGAGAGAAGGCGUGAUUACCAGCACCUGUGGUCUGUCCUGGUCCCGGAAGUUGUGGUUCUCUCCUUGUUGCAUUAUUAUUACGUGCCGUAGUGGGUGCUGGUGUUUGGGUGUCUUUUUCUCUCUCCCUCUGAUCUCCCCAGGUGCUCCCAAUCUCCAAUCAGCGCCUCCAUAUAGGACAUGAGGAAGGUUGCAGUCGCUCUCCCCUUAUCUUAAGCUUUGUUUGACAAGUUGGCUGGUGAGCCCUUUUUCGUUGUGUUAAUUAAAAGACCACUUUAUGGCGUCAGAGAUCAGUUUCCUCUCCUUUUUCUCUCGGCCGGUUAUGUUGUGUGUCGCUACUUCCCUUUGUACCCCUAUAUUUACAAGGGAACGUAACAUUUGCACAGUGGCAGCUCUUUAACCUGCAUUACAGCACCUUCAUAUUCACUGACCACACUCACUAGAGGAAGUAGGGCUGUGUGAUAUAUUGCUAUUGUAAAAAAGAUGUUUACUGAAAAGAUUAAAUGAUACUAAGACUGAAUAAUACAUGGUUUCUUAUUUACAUUUACAAUAACCCUCAAUGGCCAUACAUGGGAGCGUCACCAGACCAAUUGUCAUCUCUAGAAUAUUGUUGAAUGAAUUAAGCCUGAAUGUAGAUGAAAGUUGUAUAUUGAGUAGGGCUACACAAUUUUCAACACAAAAAGAUGUUUACUGAAAAGACUUGAACACAAGAUGUUUGAACACAAAAAGAUGUUUACUGAAAAGAUUAAAUGAUACUGAAUAAUA